UAACCUUUUCCCUUCAUGCCUUCUCCCCCGAUUGUGUCGAUUAGCACUCGAGAGUCGACGGUCGUUGCAACUCUCGAUCGCGCCAACACCUUGUCGCAAAUCGAGUCUCCCACCUCCUCUACUCCUCAACAGAGGUCGUGUCGGCGGAGUUUUCACCGGAAAGCAGCCUCGUGCAAGGGAUCUUCGGUCGAGUGAGGGGAUUCAAGCUUCAAUGUCGCUGGGGGUUGAAUCGUCGAGAUCCUGUAAUCGGUCUUGGUUGGGAGUUGCACUCCAAAUGGCGGUCUCGUCGUCCCAAGCCCUAAAUCUGAGCUUACUCUGUCGGGUGCCCUUCGCUGCUUGUGAGGGGUCUGUCGUCGUGGUAAGUUGAGUGCUUCACGGUAAAAGACUCGACUACAAAUUUUUAGCAACAAGUAUCAGGAGCCUUAGCAGUUGUUUUCCAACCGUGAAUCAGUAGCUUUUGUAAAAGCUCCGAUUGUAGAUCUGUGGUAGCGGGCAACACCACUGCGCUUGUGUCGUCAGCAACACCUCCUAGCAGUGGGUCAACCGAGUUUUCUUUCGCCAGGUAGCCGUUAGUUGAUACCAAUACACUUGGAGGAGGAUCCUCACUGGCCGGUCCCACGUCGCUUCCGUUGAUGGAUUUCUGGUUUUGUUUAUCAUUUUAGUUGUGAUUUGAUCUUGUGAACUUGGUAUUGUAAUAACCCGUAGUGGACUUAGUGUUAUCUUGUAUUUGGAUUUGUUUUGUCGAGGAGUCAAGCCGAGCCGGCCCGCGGGGAGUAGUUUUGUUAUUUUGUGCUUGAUAUUUGUUUUUCCACUAUGUUUUAUCAGCCGUGUGGGUUGCGUAUUAUCUACAUGGAUGUGUUUAGAUCCAGCCGUGUUGGCUGUGUUUUGCAUAUGAGUAACUUUUGGCUA
This is a long non-coding RNA of Zingiber officinale, 909 nucleotides long. RefSeq lists it as uncharacterized. The record is from RefSeq and is a predicted model, not a curated record. NCBI's taxonomy places the organism in Eukaryota, Viridiplantae, Streptophyta, Magnoliopsida, Zingiberales, Zingiberaceae. The transcript is spliced from 4 exons.